Molecule: ribosomal RNA, 468 nt
Filed under: uncultured bacterium
Lineage: Bacteria
Description: partial 16S ribosomal RNA
Rfam family: Bacterial small subunit ribosomal RNA
Source: RNAcentral
GACGAACGCUGGCGGCGUGCCUAAUACAUGCAAGUCGAACGGAAGGGUCCGGGCUUUGUGGCAUGCCCGCGUGGCGAAACGGGGAGUAACACGUGGGUAACCCGCCCUUGACUACGGGAAAAAUUCCGGAAACUGGGGCCAAUACCGGGUAAACGCUUCCCCUGCCUUGUGGGAGAUGGGAAGUUUCGGCGGUUGGGGAUGGUCGCGCGGCGUAUCAGCUCGUUGGUGGGGUAGUGGCUUACCACGGCUUUGAAGGGUAGCCGGCCUGAGCGGGUGGGCGGCCACAAUGGGACUGAGGGACGGACCAGACGGCUACGGGAGGCAGCAGUGGAGAAUAUUGCAGAAUGGGCGGAAGCCUGAUGCAGCAACGCUGCGUGCGGGAUGCCGUCUUUCGGGGUGUAAACCGCUUUCGGCUGUGACGAAGCGUGAGUGACGGUAAUGGGUAAGGAAGCAACGGCUAACUACGUG